GAGCGGCAAGAGCUCAGAUUUGGAAUCGUGUUUCGGCACGAGUUGUAAAUUGCAGGUUGGAGUCUUUGUGGAAGCGUGUGUCCAAGUCCCUUGGAACAGGGCGCCAUUGAGGGUGAGAGCCCCGUGGGAUGCGCGCGGAAGCAGCAAGGCCCUUCUGACGAGUCGAGUUGUUUGGGAAUGCAGCUCUAAGCGGGUGGUAAAUUCCAUCUAAGGCUAAAUACUGGCGAGAGACCGAUAGCGAACAAGUACUGUGAAGGAAAGAUGAAAAGCACUUUGAAAAGAGAGUGAAACAGCACGUGAAAUUGUUGAAAGGGAAGGGUAUUGGGCCCGACAUGGGGAUUGCGCAUCUCUGCUCCUUGUGGGCGGGGCGCUGUGCUUUUCCUGGGCCAGCAUCGGUUUUUGCCGCAGGAGAAGGGGUACUGGAAUGUGGCUCCUCGGAGUGUUAUAGCCAGUGCCAGAUGCUGCGUGCGGGGACCGAGGGCUGCGACAUCUGUCUCGGAUGCUGGCACAACGGCGCAAUACCGCCCGUCUU
RNAcentral lists this ribosomal RNA (532 nucleotides) under Pichia occidentalis. RNAcentral describes it as "eukaryotic LSU rRNA". It matches the Rfam family "Eukaryotic large subunit ribosomal RNA", at positions 96 to 655 of the family's 3401-position model. The record is from RNAcentral. Lineage: Eukaryota; Fungi; Ascomycota; Pichiomycetes; Pichiales; Pichiaceae.